Molecule: non-coding RNA, 84 nt
Organism: Karstenula rhodostoma CBS 690.94
Lineage: Eukaryota; Fungi; Ascomycota; Dothideomycetes; Pleosporales; Didymosphaeriaceae
Source: the annotation of a GenBank genome assembly
GCGGGAGUUGUCUAGUGGUUAUGAUAUCUGCUUUACAUUUGUGUAUUGCGCAGAAGGUCCCCGGUUCGAUCCCGGGCUUCCGUA